This 101-nucleotide non-coding RNA is filed under the name Secundilactobacillus collinoides. Its description in RNAcentral is "Lactobacillus collinoides TPP sequence". It matches the Rfam family "TPP riboswitch aptamer (THI element)". From Rfam's summary of the family: Vitamin B(1) in its active form thiamin pyrophosphate (TPP) is an essential coenzyme that is synthesised by coupling of pyrimidine and thiazole moieties in bacteria. The previously detected thiamin-regulatory element, thi box was extended, resulting in a new, highly conserved RNA secondary structure, the THI element, which is widely distributed in eubacteria and also occurs in some archaea. Analysis of operon structures identified a large number of new candidate thiamin-regulated genes, mostly transporters, in various prokaryotic organisms. The record is from RNAcentral. Lineage: Bacteria; Bacillati; Bacillota; Bacilli; Lactobacillales; Lactobacillaceae. RNAcentral also lists the same sequence under 1 other name.
AAAACACACUAGGGGUGCCGUAAUGGCUGAGAUAGAAGCAAUUCUGAUCCCUUUGAACCUGUUAAGUUAAUUCUUGCGAAGGAAAGUGUCGAAAUCUAUCG